Molecule: ribosomal RNA, 290 nt
Filed under: uncultured bacterium
Lineage: Bacteria
Description: partial 16S ribosomal RNA
Rfam family: Bacterial small subunit ribosomal RNA
Source: RNAcentral
GUGGAUUAGAUACCCUGGUAGUCCACGCCCUAAACGAUGUCGACUGGUUGUUGGGGGUUUGACACUCUCAGUAACGAAGCUAACGCGUGAAGUCGACCGCCUGGGGAGUACGGCCGCAAGGUUAAAACUCAAAGGAAUUGACGGGGACCCGCACAAGCGGUGGAUUAUGUGGAUUAAUUCGAUGCAACGCGAAAAACCUUACCUACCCUUGACAUGUCCUGGAGCCUGGAGAGAUCCGGGUGUGCCCGAAAGGGAACGGGAACACAGGUGCUGCACGGCUGUCGACAACU